RNAcentral lists this ribosomal RNA (292 nucleotides) under uncultured bacterium. Its description in RNAcentral is "partial 16S ribosomal RNA". RNAcentral also lists the same sequence under 1 other name. The record is from RNAcentral.
GGACUACUGGGGUUUCUAAUCCUGUUUGCUCCCCUAGCUUUCGUGCCUUAGUGUCAGGAGUUGUCCAGGGACUCGCCUUCGCCACUGGUGUUCCUCUCGAUAUCUACGCAUUUCACUGCUACACCGAGAAUUCCAGUCCCCCCUCCAACCCUCCAGCCGAAUAGUAUUCAAUGCCAUUUCCGGGUUGAGCCCGGAGAUUUCACAUCAAACUUACCCGACCACCUACGCACCCUUUACGCCCAGUGAAUCCGAACAACGCUUGGGACCUCUGUAUUACCGCGGCGGCUGGCAC